UAUUCUGCCCAUGCGGGAAGGAUGAGAAUCUUCGAUUAAGGUUCGAUUCGGGCAUAGCGAGAAAGCGUUGCCGCAGGCAACGACCCGAAGGGCGAAGCGCGCAGCGCUGAGUCAUCCUUCCCCCACUACCA
RNAcentral lists this small RNA (131 nucleotides) under Citrobacter sp. wls718. RNAcentral's name for it is "RtT sRNA". It matches the Rfam family "RtT RNA". Rfam says of the family: This family represents a bacterial cis-regulatory element known as RtT RNA. The exact function of RtT is unknown although it is thought that it may be involved in changing the cellular response in relation to amino acid starvation. Lineage: Bacteria; Pseudomonadati; Pseudomonadota; Gammaproteobacteria; Enterobacterales; Enterobacteriaceae. The record is from RNAcentral.